UUGAACGCUGGCGGUAGGCUUAACACAUGCAAGUCGUGCGAGAAAGUAUCUUCGGAUAUGAGUAGAGCGGCGGACGGGUGAGUAACGCGUAGGAAUCUACCUAGUAGAAGGGGAUAGCCCGGGGAAACUCGGAUUAAUACCGUAUACCUCCUUCGGGAGAAGAAGGCCUCUCUUUGAAGCUUUCGCUACUAGAUGAGCCUGCGUAAGAUUAGCUUGUUGGUGAGGUAAAGGCUCACCAAGGCGACGAUCUUUAGCUGGUCUGAGAGGACGAUCAGCCACAUUGGUACUGAGACACGGACCAGACUUCUACGGAAGGCAGCAGUAAGGAAUAUUGG
This 335-nucleotide ribosomal RNA is filed under the name uncultured Oceanospirillales bacterium. RNAcentral's name for it is "SSU rRNA". It matches the Rfam family "Bacterial small subunit ribosomal RNA", at positions 30 to 367 of the family's 1533-position model. Lineage: Bacteria; Pseudomonadati; Pseudomonadota; Gammaproteobacteria; Oceanospirillales. The record is from RNAcentral.